Rosa rugosa (rugosa rose) is the source of this 730-nucleotide long non-coding RNA. RefSeq lists it as uncharacterized. The transcript has 6 exons. Lineage: Eukaryota; Viridiplantae; Streptophyta; Magnoliopsida; Rosales; Rosaceae. The record is from RefSeq and is a predicted model, not a curated record.
UGACUAUAUGUACCUACAUUUGAGAGUUUAAUUUUGAUCAAUGUUGACUGUUCUAAGCUUUAGUGGGACUUUAUAGUUUCAUUUCGGGGAAUAAAAUCCCAUUCUGGGUCUAUUGAGUUGUGUUCAAUAUUACAGGGAUCAAGCAGAGGUAGCGAAUUGGGGAAAAGAGGAGAGACUGCAAGAUUGGAUACCCAAGGCUGAAAGGUUGGUUGGGAUUUGGGUGGAGUUUGCUUAGUCUACAUGCCUGCUGAAAGGUUGGUUGGGAUUUGGGUGGAGUUUGCUUAGUCUACAUACCUAUCACUUGCUCGAUGGUUUGAGCUGCCUCAGCGGGGCUUCGCAGUCACCAGAGGAACUCCCAUACCCUUUUCAACUUUCUCGUAACAAGAAAAAAAAAAAAACUUUUCAACUUUCAGAGUAGAUAAAUUGGAUGCUGAAACCAGUUGUUCAUAGUUGAGACUAGUUGGUUUAUUACCUGAACUUGCGUCCCAUGUCUUACGGCCCUGCUUCUCGCACUUGGGACUUCCACUUUUUGAGGUUUCUGUUAACAUGCCCUACUGAUGAUAAAGUGCUCAAAGUGGUGGUCAAUUGAGAGAAUCUGCAUUUGGAUGGUUAAAUGUUCAAAAGAUGAUGUAGUAUAUUUUGUAAUAUGCUAUAUUCUUAACAUAAGUUUAAACUCAAGUUUGCUAGAAAUUGUACUUGGUUUCUAGCAGAUUGGAUAUAAAAUUUUUGU